Molecule: long non-coding RNA, 4789 nt
Filed under: Sus scrofa (pig)
Lineage: Eukaryota; Metazoa; Chordata; Mammalia; Artiodactyla; Suidae
Description: lncRNA (ENSSSCG00015014377.1)
Source: RNAcentral
CUUUUCUAGGGCCACACCCUUGGCAUAAGCAGGUUCCCAAGCUAGGGGUCUAAUCAGAGCUGCAGCCACCAGCCCAUGCCACAGCCACAGCAACGCAGGAUCCGAGCCACGUCAGCGAACUACACCACAGCUCAAGGCAACGCUGGAUCUUUAACCCACUGAGCAAGGCCAGGGAUUGAACCCGCAAUCUCAUGGUUCCUAGUCGGAUUCGUUAACCACUGAGCCAUGAUGGGAGGACCUGCCUGCCAUAAUAUCAAUAGUUCCAUUAUAAGGGACUUAUUCUCCAAAAGCAGCUCUCUUAUGAACAGAAUUUAAUUUAGACUAUCUUUUUUUAGAUGGUAUUUGUUUAUGACUAUUGUCUUCAAAUAAAUUAAAAGGUUAAAAAAAGUGAUAUUUAAUGUAUGCAAUAUACUUUCACCUUAAAUAAUUUAUCAGUUAUAAUCUUAAUUAUUGUAAACAUUCAGUUAAACCUACUCAGAUAUCUGUUACUAAACAAAAACUAAUAAUCUUGACAAAAUAUAUCAAGUGGCUUCAUUUCCAUAUGUUCAAGAAUCAUACAUCACCAUAAUAGUGUGGUUAGAUGAGAUUACCUAAAUUGAAGAUAAAUUUGUUCUUAUAUAAAUAUGUCAAAAUAUAUCUAACUGUACAUACAGUCAUAAAUAAAUCACAUCUUUCUUAGUGGUUAAAGAUAUAGGCCACAUUUGGGAAAGCACAAUUAGUGACAGCUGAUAAGUAUGACUUUAUUUUUCCUAAUAAACUAUAAAUGGCAAUAGCUAACACUGAUUGGGUGCUUCCUUUGAGCCAGUCACACACACGUUUUGUGUAUAUAAACUUAUUUAAUCCUCACAGAAAACCUGUGAGAUUGGAACAAUUAUUGUCCUCAUUUGAUGGAUAAAUUAUAGAAAGGUUAAUAAACUUGCUCCUAGACAUAGCUAAUAAACACUGAAAACCAUGAUUUAAAUCUGGACAGCCUAAUUUAGAAUCAGUCCUUUCAACUACUAUUUGUAUAAUUUACUUAGAUACAUAAUUUAUAAUUUAUAGAAUGAGAUAUGAUAUGUCAGAAUAAGAUUUUACUUUUAAAUAAUGGAGACCUUGCAAAAUGGUCCAGUUUGUUUAACAGGGCACCAGAUGCAAAGCAGCUCACCAAUGCACAACUGUCAUGGGGAAAAAAGGUGUCUCUAAAUCACCUGUACUCUGGGGAAACUACACGCUGUUUCAUUCAAAGUCCAAGGAGUUCGAUUUCUAAAGGAUAAGAUUUUAAAAAGCAUUUGCUUCCUUAUCAGAAAAUCAAAUAAUCAACUUUUAUUUCUCAAAGGUAAGGAAGAUCAAAUGGACACCCCUUGGAUCUAAUCCGUGGUUUCAGAAAGGCUAGAAAAUAGCAAGUGUGAUGAGUCGAUAAUUAAAGGGCUCCUUCUGGGAAAAUUCUGUGAUUAAAUGCAAGACAGCAUGCAAAGAGAAUCAUUCUACUACUGGAUUAAAAUCUGAAAUGGAGAUGCAGGGGCUACCCACUUUUCUAGAAGAACUAAAAUGCAUUGGAAGAAAGAGUUGACCUAAUGUUUAAAAAGCUAACAUUUGACAUUACCUCUUAUCGAACAGUUAUAUUACUGCUUAAACCAAUAUUACAAUAGCCAAGAAAGAAAAUAUAAAAUCUAUAUAUUCUGUUUGCAUUUUUACUCUUACCCAAACUGCACCAGAUCUUCCCCAUUGCUGAGUCCUCUGAUAAUAAAAUUGAGUUUUUAAUCUCUUUUAGGUCACCUAAACAGCAACACACAAAAUUGUAUACCCAUAGUUGAGAAAAAUAAUGAAUUUCUUCAAUAUCUACAUAGCUAUAGGAAGGUGACUAAAGUACCAUAAGGAUUAAUCUCAAAAAAUCUGAAUGAUAUUUGUAGGUCCUUUUAAAAAAUUAGUAACAUACUGUACAUUUAAGAAAACUUAUUAAGAGCAUUCCUGCCACAUAUUUGGGUUACCUGGUACUUCAAAUUUUAGAAAGGAAAAGAUAGAUAUCCCCUUAUCACAGAGGUAGUUUCCAGCUGGGUAUAGGAUCUGAAAUACACAUUAAAAAAAAUCUUCUAGUUUAUAUCUGCCUUGAAAUGAAAUAUAUGCGGUCUCCCAUUCACUCUACAUUUUUCCAACCUGCUGAAUUAUGAAAAAUUUAUAAGGAGGGUGCUCUGAGGAAGUCACAAAUAUGAUAGUUUUUUGUUUUUUUUGUUUUUUUACUAAGGAACUGAUUAUAUUGAAACUAAAGAGACUAAAGAGUUUAAGACUAAAAUUUUUAAGACUAAAGACUUGUUCUUGAUAAGCUUCCUUAGCUAGCACCCUGAGUAUUAGAAUGUUCAAGUCUAAUUCAUAAACACAUAUACAGAUAGAUGAAAAUAAUGAUUUUUAUGUUUAUUCAAAAUAAGAGAAAAAUGUAUAUACUGAAAUAAUACUAUUUUGAAAUCAGACUCAAGAAAUUUAAGUCAAAUAGCUGACAUUAAAAAAAACGAGCUUGGAUUAAUUAUAUUUUAAUAAAAUUACUAUGAUCUAUUAUUACUAUUAAUAAUAACACAUUCCUUAGAAAAACUUUAUUUCCAAAAUAAAUCAUGGCCCAAGGAAAUAUUUAUAUGUAAUUAAUUCCAAUAUAAGGCACGACACUUUAAUGUUUCCAAUGAAGCAUAAUUUUCUUCAACAAAUAUAGAUCAUUCUGCUCUCAAAACCUGUAAUUCAUUAUCUCAUUUGAAUAUAUUGUUUAAUCUAGUAAAUGUGUGAUGAAUAGUAGUAAUGAUAUAGAAAUAAAACAAUGCAAUUUUACUCUCAUAAUUAUCCACUAGCAAAAUUAAAAUUGGAACUGUGGAAAGGUGUUAUAUCUAAUCAUGCCAAUAUCAGAAGGGGAUAGCCUAACACUUUUCACCCACUGUUAGUUAUAUUUGUGCAUAGAAACAUAUUUUAUGGACUUAAUGGGCCUAGUACAUAAAAUAUUGUACCUAAUAUAUAAAAAUGAGAACAAUUUUAGAAAUAGUUUUUAAGAGUAUAUCCAUAGUUUCCUUUCUGUAUUCAAAUAGUGAAAAAAAAAAGAACAGCAACAAAAAAACCCUUGUGUCAAAUACACUAUUUUCAUUCUCAUUGAAGUUACUUGGUUAAGAUUAUUAUCAUAGAAACACAUAUCUUAGAUCCUAGCGUCAGAAAAGCCCAGCGUUCUAGCUUAAUUUGCAGGCAGAGAACAAUAUCACAAUGGCAAAAUAUCAGUUUCAAUGUCAAUUUAAAUUAUUGGUUAAUAUCACAGGCAAUAAGACAUGGGCUAAAUUUAACACAUAAUUAAAACAGCCUCUGCUAAAUGAUUUGAGUUUAACAUGAAUGAUAUAAAGGACACUUAAAUACAUUUGUUUCUUAGACAAUUUGAGAGUGUUAAGCUCUGUUUUGUGAGAAUCCCUGGGGAAAGUUAAAUGUAAAUGCUUUUAUUUAAUGGGACUAAACAGGAGUAGUCUAAAAUGAGAAGUUGUAGCUCUGCUUAAGCCAUGUGGCUUAAUCAUGGAAUUAUCAUAGAAAUACCAUAGUUGGCUUAUCUAGUUGAAACUCGUUAUAUUAAAGGGAAGGAAAGAAAGACCCAGGAAUGUGGGAAUCAUCAAAGAGCACUCAGUAAAGUGGCAAAGAGAAAAGUUUAAGUAAAACUCAGGCUUCCUGGCUAUCAAGUCUUCCAUUAAAUACUGCAGUGACUGACGAAUUAGUCAUACUUAGAAACGCAUAAUUAAUCCUUUAAGUGUUUUCUCAAUAUUAUUUCCAUCUUCCUUACAAUCUUAUUGUGAAGAAAAAUUAAGUUGUUAUUUUCAUCUGUCUCUACAUAUGUAUAUAUGUUUAUGAAUUAGACAUAAAUUCUGAUGAUCAUUGGGUGCUAGCUAAUGAAAUGCAUUCAUUCAUUUUUCUCUUAAUCAACCAAUAUUUAUCAAAGAUUUAAUAAAUUCAAGGAACAUUUGUGAUGCAGGAGCCUUUAUUUUGAUGUUAAAGUUAUAUACCUACCCUCAGGACACUCGCAUAAAUAAAGUACAUAGAAAAAUAAUGAUGAUGAAAGGGAAUAAUUAAAUGUAGCUAAAGAAAAGAAAUCUUGAGCGUAUUUUGAGAAUUCAGAACAUAUAGUUGUAGUUCUAAAAACUUGAUAUGUAUAAGGUUCUUAUGGGAAGCUUAUUAAAAAUGUUGAAGAUGCAUCACUAUUAUUAGAGAAAUGCAAAUGGAAACUACUAUGGGGUACCAUCCCAUACCAGUCAGAAUGACAUCAUCAAUACGUCCACAAAUAAAUGCUGGAGAGGGUGUGAAGAAAAGGGAACCCUCCUGCACUGUUGGUGAGAGUGUAAAUUGGUACAACCACUAUGGAAAACAGUAUGAAGGUGCCUUAGAAAACUAUACAUAGAACAACCAAUUCCACUCUUAGGCAUAUACAGACAAAACUUUCCUUGAUAAAGACAUAUGCCCCUGUAUGUUCACUGCAGCACUAUUCACAAUAGCCAAGACAUGGAAACAACCUACAGGGGACUGAAUUAAGAAGAUGUGGUAUACAUACACAAUGGAAUGCUAUUCAGCCAUAAAAAAGAACAAAAAAAUGCCAUAUGCAGCAACAUAGACGGAACGAGAGACUUUUAUACUAAGUCAAGUAAGUCAGAAAGAGAACGACAAAUACCAUAUGAUAUCACUUAUAUCUGGAAUCUAGUAUACAGCACAAAUGAACUUUUCCACAAAAAAGAAAAUCAUGGUUGCCAAGGGGGAAGGGAAGAGAGUGGGAUGGACUGGAGUGUUUGGGGUUAAUAGAUGCAAACUAUUG